AAGUACUCCUUCCGUCCAUCCCAAUUUAUGUGAUAUAGUUCGGUAGGCAUGGAAUUUCAGAAAGAAAGUACUCCCUCCGUCCGUCCCAAUUUAUGUGAUAUAGUUCGGUAGGCACGGAGUUUAAGAAAGAAAGUACUCCCUCCGUCCGUCCCAAUUUAUGUGAUAUAGUUCGCUAGGCAUGGAGUUUGAGAAAGAAAGUACUCCCUCCCUCCAUCCCAAUUUAUGUGAUAUAGUUCGGUAGGCAUGGAGUUUAAGAAAGAAAGUACUCCCUCCGUCCGUCCCAAUUUAUGUGAUAUAGUUUGACUGGGGCUCAAAGUUUAAGAAAUAAAAGAAAGACUUUUGAAUCUUGUGGUCUAAAAUAAGUCAAAGAUAAUUGCGUGGUUAUAGAUCAUCUCUUUAAGCGUAAAAGUUAAAGUUUGAAGUUAAAUGGUUACCAAAUAAGGAUAUGUAUCAUUUUUUGGGGACAUACUAAAAAGAAAAGUGUAUCACAUAAAUUGUGAUAUAGGGAGUAAUACUUUUGAAAUUUGAGGUCUAAAAUAAGUCAUAGAUAUUUGUGUGACUAUAAAAGGGGAAGUUUUAAGUUAAAUUAUUUUUAAAUAUCUGGGACAAACUAAAAAGGAAAGUGUAUUACAUAAAUUGGGACAGAGGGAGUAUUUACUUUUUGGGGCUAUUCUGUAGUGCAUUUUUGUAUGAAUUUGAUGUGAAGCUCAUAUGUGCCAUGGCUGUCCUUGUGCCGAAGGUCGUAGGGGUAAGGUACCCUCCUGGACCCCACUUUAUGGGAUUUCACAGGGUAUGUUGUUGUUGUGAGUACGAUAUAAUUGAGACGUUUCUUGAAUAGCCGAAGUGAUAUAGUUUGACUAGGCAUGGAGUUUAAGAAAGAAAGGAAUGACUUUUGAAACUUGUGGUCUAAAACAAGUCAUAGAUAUUUGUGUGGCUGUAAAUCAUUUCAUUAAGGGUAAAAAUAGAAGUUUUACAUUAAAUUAUUUCUACAUACAAUAAACAUGUAUCAUUCUUUUUGCGAUAGACUAAAAAGGAAAAUGUAUAAUAUAAAUUGGGAUAGAGGGAGUACUUACUUUUUGGGGCUAUUCUGUACUGCAUUUUUAUAUGAUGUUUGAUGUGAAGCUCAUAUUUGACUAGACACGGAGUUUAAGAAAGAAAGGAAGACUUUUGAAACUUGUGGUCUAAAACAGGGCAUAGAUAUUUGUGUGGCUGUAAAUCAUUUCAUUAAGGGUAAAAGGGGAAGAUUUAAGUUAAGUUAUUUCUAACCUAGAAAUGUAUCAUUCUUUCUGGGACAGACUAAAAAGGAAAAUGUAUCACAUAAAUCGAGACUGAGGGAGUAUUUACUUUUUGGGGCUAUUUUGUACUGCAUUUUUAUAUGAAUUUGAUGUGAAGCUCAUAUGUGCCAUGGUUGUGCUUGUGCCGAGGGUCGUAGGGGUAAGGUACCCUUCUAGACCCCACUUUGUGGGAUUUCACUGGGUAUGCUAUUAUUGUUGUUGUGAAGGUCAUAUGUAUUUUGGGCCUUAAUAGCUACACCAAUAUCUUUUGAGCCGAGGGUCUAUAGGAAACAACCUCUGUACCUCUCAAAAGGUAGAGGUAAGGUCUGCGUACAUCUUUACCUCGCGAGGGCCCCACUUGUGGGGGGGGGGGGGUAUGUUGUUGUUGUUGUAGUAGCUACACCAAUGCUGUUUCUUGAGUUUUGGAGGUAAAUUCCCCCUUUCUUGGUAUAAGAAUCUUCUUCUUCCUAUAAUUCCGGGUUU
Lycium ferocissimum is the source of this 1757-nucleotide long non-coding RNA. RefSeq lists it as uncharacterized. The transcript is spliced from 3 exons. The record is from RefSeq and is a predicted model, not a curated record. NCBI's taxonomy places the organism in Eukaryota, Viridiplantae, Streptophyta, Magnoliopsida, Solanales, Solanaceae.